CUACAAAUGAAUUGACGGGGACCCGCACAAGCGGUGGAUGAUGUGGUUUAAUUCGAUGCAACGCGAAAACCUUACCCACCUUUGACAUGUACGGAAUCCUUUAGAGGUAGAGGAGUGCUCGAAAGAGAGCCGUAACACAGGUGCUGCAUGGCUGUCGUCAGCUCGUGUCGUGAGAUGUUGGGUUAAGUCCCGCAACGAGCGCAACCCUUGUCAUUAGUUGCUACAUUCAGUUGGGCACUCUAAUGAGACUGCCGGUGACAAACCGGAGGAAGGUGGGGAUGACGUCAAGUCCUCAUGGCCCUUAUAGGUGGGGCUACACACGUCAUACAAUGGAUGGUACAAAGGGUCGCCAACCCGCGAGGGGGAGCCAAUCCCAUAAAGCCAUUCGUAGUCCGGAUCGCAGUCUGCAACUCGACUGCGUGAAGUCGGAAUCGCUAGUAAUCGUGGAUCAGAAUGUCACGGUGAAUACGUUCCCGGGUCUU
This 482-nucleotide ribosomal RNA is filed under the name uncultured Acidovorax sp. RNAcentral's name for it is "bacterial SSU rRNA". It matches the Rfam family "Bacterial small subunit ribosomal RNA", at positions 903 to 1382 of the family's 1533-position model. Lineage: Bacteria; Pseudomonadati; Pseudomonadota; Betaproteobacteria; Burkholderiales; Comamonadaceae. The record is from RNAcentral.